This is a long non-coding RNA of Haliotis rubra (blacklip abalone), 144 nucleotides long. RefSeq lists it as uncharacterized. NCBI's taxonomy places the organism in Eukaryota, Metazoa, Mollusca, Gastropoda, Lepetellida, Haliotidae. The transcript has 3 exons. The record is from RefSeq and is a predicted model, not a curated record.
AAGGGCACUCAAGGAUGGCUCGAGACCCCUCCCCCAGGUGCCACCCCAGUCCUACCAGAGGCUCAUUCAGAACCAGCAGGACCAUUUUGGCAAGUGAGAGGAAGAACAGCACAGAUACGACCAUCUAAAGCAGACCUCGGGUCA